Molecule: ribosomal RNA, 505 nt
Filed under: uncultured bacterium
Lineage: Bacteria
Description: partial 16S ribosomal RNA
Rfam family: Bacterial small subunit ribosomal RNA
Source: RNAcentral
GACGAACGCUGGCGGCGUGCCUAAUACAUGCAAGUCGAACGCACAGUUUAUACCGUAGCUUGCUACACCAUAAACUGUGAGUUGCGAACGGGUGAGUAACGCGUAGGUAACCCGCCUGGUAGCGGGGGAUAACUAUUGGAAACGAUAGCUAAUACCGCAUAAUAUUGAUUAUUGCAUGAUAAUUGAUUGAAAGAUGCUAUUGCAUCACUACCAGAUGGACCUGCGUUGUAUUAGCUAGUAGGUGAGGUAACGGCUCACCUAGGCGACGAUACAUAGCCGACCUGAGAGGGUGAUCGGCCACACUGGGACUGAGACACGGCCCAGACUCCUACGGGAGGCAGCAGUAGGGAAUCUUCGGCAAUGGACGAAAGUCUGACCGAGCAACGCCGCGUGAGUGAAGAAGGUUUUCGGAUCGUAAAGCUCUGUUGUAAGAGAAGAACGGGUGUGAGAGUGGAAAGUUCACACUGUGACGGUAUCUUACCAGAAAGGGGCGGCUAACUACGUG